This 221-nucleotide ribosomal RNA is filed under the name uncultured bacterium. Its description in RNAcentral is "partial 16S ribosomal RNA". It matches the Rfam family "Bacterial small subunit ribosomal RNA", at positions 118 to 334 of the family's 1533-position model. The record is from RNAcentral.
UAAGUAACCUGGCAUCUACAGGGGGAUAACUGAUGGAAACGUCAGCUAAGACCGCAUAGGUGUAGAGAUCGCAUGAACUCUAUGUGAAAAGUGCUACGGGACUGGUAGAUGAUGGACUUAUGGCGCAUUAGCUGGUUGGUAGGGUAACGGCCUACCAAGGCGACGAUGCGUAGCCGACCUGAGAGGGUGACCGGCCACACUGGGACUGAGACACGGCCCAG